CGGGAAUGCACCAUUCAAGUUGGUCUGCCAACCGCCAUUAACACCAGAAGAAGAUGAUGAAGAAGAAGCUGCAGGACUACUACAUAAAGAAGUUUACCCAACUGCGAUGACUUGUUCUUCUGCUUCCCCGGAAAAGUGAAAAGGGACGGAGAAAGAACUAAAUCUGUAGGUUAUUCCUGCAAACAAUUUGGACCAUUCCCGGAUUUCCAGUAUCAUCUGCUCUCUCCUCACUGCAGUCUAAUGCUGCUGUUUACAUCUGCUUCAUUUGCUAUACCUACUAUCAUCCCUGCUGUGUCUGUGC
Molecule: long non-coding RNA, 301 nt
Filed under: Sinocyclocheilus anshuiensis
Lineage: Eukaryota; Metazoa; Chordata; Actinopteri; Cypriniformes; Cyprinidae
Description: lncRNA (ENSSANG00000049999.1)
Source: RNAcentral